RNAcentral lists this ribosomal RNA (478 nucleotides) under Dioszegia takashimae. Its description in RNAcentral is "eukaryotic LSU rRNA". The stretch from base 144 to 297 matches the Rfam family "5.8S ribosomal RNA". Lineage: Eukaryota; Fungi; Basidiomycota; Tremellomycetes; Tremellales; Bulleribasidiaceae. The record is from RNAcentral.
AAGGAUCAUUAAUAAACGGCGAAGCUCGCAAGAGCUUAGCUUUAUAUUAUCCAUAACACCUGUGAACUAUUUGCCUUCUUGUCAUGAGAAGGUACACCUUACAAACAUAACUGUAAUGAAUGUAAUCUAUUAUAACAUAAUACAACUUUCAACAACGGAUCUCUUGGCUCUCGCAUCGAUGAAGAACGCAGCGAAAUGCGAUAAGUAAUGUGAAUUGCAGAAUUCAGUGAAUCAUCGAAUCUUUGAACGCAACUUGCGCCCUUUGGUAUUCCGAAGGGCAUGCCUGUUUGAGUGUCAUAUAAACCUCACCUCUACUGUUUUUAAUUGAACAUGUGGAUUGGUGCUUUGGGCGUCUGCCGUUUACUCUGGCUCGCCUUAAAUGUCUAAGUGGAAUGCGUAAUAAGUCUUCGCAACCCUCCACUCUAAUACAACUUUAUAUUCUGACCUCAAAUCAGGUAGGACUACCCGCUGAACUUAA